GAUAGUGGUGUGUUCCCUUAACAUGUAACUAUCAUGGCAGAAAAGUGUUUGAAACUUUAGCCGCUAGAGGUCAGCCAGUAAGACAUCAGUUUCUUCCCUACACUUUCAAGAUGAGUCCAGACGUUAAGCAACUCGCACAUCACGUGUCAUCAACACUCUGUGGCGAAACAGCAUUACAAACAGAAUUUAAAGUGGGCAGUGCUCUUCUAAGGGUUCUACUUGAUUAGAGAGGCUAUAACCAGGGUCGUUGGUAGAAGUAACCACUAGGUCCACAACGAAUGAAUACUGUUGCAUCAUCGAGUCACAUGACUACUGUGACGCAACGUUUCUAGAACUAUCAUGUACUU
This is a long non-coding RNA of Limulus polyphemus (Atlantic horseshoe crab), 347 nucleotides long. RefSeq lists it as uncharacterized. The record is from RefSeq and is a predicted model, not a curated record. The transcript has 3 exons. Lineage: Eukaryota; Metazoa; Arthropoda; Merostomata; Xiphosura; Limulidae.